GACGAACGCUGGCGGCGUGCCUAAUACAUGCAAGUCGUGCGGACUUUGCGGGAGCUUGCUUCCAAGAAGUUAGCGGCGGACGGGUGAGUAACACGUGGGCAACCUGCCUGACAGACUGGGAUAACAUUCGGAAACGAAUGCUAAUACCGGAUAGGCAGCGAAGAGGCAUCUCUUUGCUGGGAAAGGCGCUACGGCGGCACUGUCAGAUGGGCCCGGCGCGCAUUAGCUAGUUGGUGAGGUAACGGCUCACCAAGGCGACGAUGCGUAGCCGACCUGAGAGGGUGACCGGCCACACUGGGACUGAGACACGGCCCAGACUCCUACGGGAGGCAGCAGUAGGGAAUCUUCCACAAUGGGCGAAAGCCUGAUGGAGCAACGCCGCGUGAGUGAUGAAGGCCUUCGGGUUGUAAAACUCUGUCUUCUGGGACGAACGGCCAAGAGAGGGAAUGCUCUUGGAUUGACGGUACCAGAGGAGGAAGCCACGGCUAACUACGUGCCAGCAGCCGCCGCGG
RNAcentral lists this ribosomal RNA (512 nucleotides) under uncultured bacterium. RNAcentral describes it as "partial 16S ribosomal RNA". It matches the Rfam family "Bacterial small subunit ribosomal RNA", at positions 28 to 523 of the family's 1533-position model. The record is from RNAcentral.